AUAAGGAAGGGCAUACUAAAAGUCAGGCAUAUGGUAGCCAUUGAUCAGAAGACACAGCACAACAAAAAUAUCUCCCCUAUGUUUAUUUCAGUUUUUAUCAGAAAUCUCCCUGACCCUUUAAAUUCAUAAUUUGGAUAGAAAAGCAAAGGUUCAAGAACCAACCAAAUAAUUCAACCAAUAAUUACAAAAAAAUAAAAGUAGAAUUAUCCACAUGAUGUUACUCAUCAAGAGGGAAUGGUCCCCCGAAGAGGGAAAAACACAGCGAUAACUGAAUAAAACAGAUGAGAAAAUGUCUCCCACAGGAGUAAUAGGUCUAAUAAGUUUUGGAGGGAACAGCUUUCCCCAAAAUAGUAUUGGAAAAAUUGAACAUGCUUGUUACUACAGGAAUCUUUAACUGACCGGUAUACCAAAACCAAAACAAAACCUUACAGACGGGUCAUAGAUGUGAAUCUAAAAUAUGGAACUACAUGUUAUCAGUUUAAAAAGAAGAAAAACAACAACAUAAACUAAGCAAAAGUGAACUCAUGUGUGGGGGAUCUCCCCUAGCUAUUUGAUUGACUGAUAAAGACGUCAGGAAGCCAAUCACUGGGCGAAGCUAUGGAGGUGGUAUUUUCCGGGCUGAACAGGAAGAAGGGGAGAAGCACAGAGAGAGAGACAGAGAUGGGAGAAAAAAGGUGGAACAUGUAGGAGAGGAUGAUGAGCCAGAACCAUGUGGUCUUAGGAUCCAUAAGUAACUGGGGAUUUCUUAGACGAUUAAAUAACAUAGGACACAGUUGUCCAAUCUAGGUAUACAGCUUAUAUCAAUUGAGUUCUUUGUGUGGGCAUUUUGGGGGUUAGGGGGUUGAGGAUUUACUAAUAUAAAUCUGGCUGGUAAAUUACAUGCCUCUGGAGUUUUCAUUUUUACAGGGCCAGGGGAUUAGAGCUAGCAACAGCCAGUUUUGAUAGGCUAGCCACAGGGGGCAGAUGACUUGGAAAGUGUGGAACGGUUCUGCAACAGCUGACUGCAGAAACCUAGACAGACCGCCGCUUGGGGAUCCCCAUGAGGUGGGGAGACGAUCGUUUUUUAUAACUACACGCUACACUCACUUUACCCACUGUUCUUAGCUAUAGUUUUGCAGAGUGGUGGGUACAAUACAUACCUUGGCCAACGAUCUGCCGAGUCUUCAGCCUAUGACAAGGCCUUUCGAGAGACUGCCAGGUGCGGCUUAGUGAAUCCCUCAGUUUCCAUACCCAUCUGUCCAUCCGUGUUCUUUCCUGUCAAGAGGAUCCUGUACGAUCAUGCUGAGCUUGCAGUGAGGGUGGCCAUGACAGAGCUGACUUCUCUUGCAAUUAGCAAUUUAGGAAGUUUAUAAUGGUCAGGCAAUGCACAGGUCCAGUUCAACUAACCUUAUCAGGAUGUCUGCUAGAUACAAAAUAUUCAACAUGGGCCUAGCGAUAUAAUGGUGGAUAACACCUAAACAGUCUCACAACUUGGUAAGGAAAAUGUGCAUGGAAACCCCAGUAGUAAAUGCAUGAAGACAGUGGAGCAUGAAGGAGAAGAGUCCAAACUCGCCAUUUCCACACGACUCCACCCGGUAGCAACUGGCCCACGACGGCAGACAUAUCCUUAAUCUACUCAUGAAAAUAGACCCACCACAGCUUCAUCCUUCCCGAAGUUUCUGUCUGUUCAUUGCGUUGCAUUUAGACCGAAGUUUCUAACCUAACACAUAAAAUUGAGGCCAUGCCUUUAAAUUAGAGUGACUGGACUUAUGGCUUUGCAAAUAAUGGUGUCUGGAUUUUAAUCCCCUGCAUAUAAGAAAACUGUCAGGUUUUAUAAUGGGCUAUGAGUCACGUGGCUCUGGCAUUGAGGCUCUAUCCUGGACUGGUUAGCAAGAGAUGUCAGGCUGGCACAGCCCCUGGAAGCAUCUCUGUCCUUGCUAGGCAACAGUGAUGAUGCUAUGUGGCCUGCUUCUUAGCAGAUGCUUCAUAAGCUCUUACCCAGUUUCCUAGGAGGGAGCCUAGUGAAACUCAGUGGGUCAUAAAAGAAAAACUUGAGAGUGGGAGGGAAACCAGCUGGGAAGCACGUGAACUCUGUGGAGGGGAAGAGAGAGAAGAGAGAAUCAUGGGUGACCAGUGUGGACAGACUGCCAUAUACACAGGUAUGAACAUCUAUUAUGCAUAGCAUGCUAUUAUUACUAAAAGUAUCAUAUAGUAAAAAGAGUUGGAACAAAAAAAAUUAACUUUUUUUUUUUGAGCCAGGAUCUCACUGCAUAGCCAUUGUCCCGGAACUCACUAUGAAGACCAGACUGACAUUGAACUCACAGACUUCUGCCUCCUGAGUGCUGGGAGUAAAGGUAUUUGCUACCACAUCCUGUAUAAAAAUGACCAUUUUUAAGUGAGUGAUUUAUUUAGCAUGUUAGAUGUGUACACCACUGCUAAUCUAUUUCAAAAAACACGUGUGACUGCACCACAAAAUGUAGAGGAGUGAGUGGAUCUGACGCUUUGAUUUAAUCAGGUAUCUGUGUUUACUGACGCUGAAGGUCCUUGCCCCCAGUUGGUUUUUGAUCUAUCAAUAAAGAUGCCAGAGGCCAGUGAUUGAGUGGAAAGAAAGAGGCAGGACUAACAGGUUCCCACAGGUGAGGAGAGAGGAGAGGGAGGAAGAGAGAAUCAAGAUACUUGGGGGAGAGAGCUGGAGGGGAGAUCUUCCAAAAUGUAGGCGGGAAAGGAAAGCAGCCCACGGAAGGGCAGCCCAAAGGUGUCUUGGGCAGCAAGACCAAUGGGCUUCAUAGAAGGUAGCCAGGCAACUAAGCUGAAGCUGCCUGGCUAAGGGCAUGUGAUAUUUUACUAGAACACGUGAUGUUUGGAAUGGUAUAAAUGGCCCCCAACAGACAGUAGAGGGCGCUGUGGCUUUGGUUCACCAUGCCUUCUUCCCUGAUCAUUUUUUGUCAUGACUUCAUAGAGAGAAAUACACCAAAGAACUUCUCCUGAUAUUCCAGAGGCUUCUUGCCACUUCCAAGAACUCAGGAAGACUGGCUGAUCGAUGCAGAAGAAACACUGAGGCCCUGCCACAAAGUACCACUGCUGAGUCUUGGGAGCUCAACUGUUGAUAUCCAAACAUGGAAGAUAGGAAUCGCCCCCCCCCAAAAAAAAAAAAAAAAACUUUACUAAAAAG
RNAcentral lists this long non-coding RNA (3151 nucleotides) under Mus pahari (shrew mouse). Its description in RNAcentral is "lncRNA (MGP_PahariEiJ_G0005382.1)". Lineage: Eukaryota; Metazoa; Chordata; Mammalia; Rodentia; Muridae. The record is from RNAcentral.